AUACCGAUAUGAAUAUCGCCAAAUUCCGAUUGAUAUCGGAAUACUUAAGUGCAUGUAAACGUAGUCAAUGUAAUCAGGAGAUGAACCGAUUCGAUUUUGGAAUUGAUCCAAACUGGGUGACAGCCUUAACAGCGUCCUUCCUGUUUGAAGAAUACAGGCAAUAUAUCAUUAUGUAUUAUUACAGCGUGUGUGUGUGUGUGUGUGUGUGUGUGUGUCAGGUCUGGUGGCGAGAGCAAGGUGGAGAAAGCUGAAGGACAGAGCAGCAGUGAGCUGGAAUCUGGGAAGUCAAACAGAGCACGACAAACUGGAGAUAUCGACAGGGGAACUGCGGUCUAAACACAAACACACACACACACACACACACACACACACAAAUAGAUUCUAGUAGAAUUGUUUUGUGUGUAUGGUUAUGCACCAUCUCUCUCUCUCUCUCACACACUCCUUGUGUUGCUUCUUUAAUGCUUUCCUGAUAAUAUCCUUCACUAUCCUCCGAGAAUGCUAUUACCCACCCUUCAGUAACAUCCUAUAGAAGGAACAUCACACCCGUCCUGUACAUUCGACAGUACACGAUCACAUACAUCCACAUUUUGUCCAAAUAUCGAGCAAGUUACUACACACGACUAAACACAAACUAAACCCCAUCUGCCCGAACCGAUCCGAGUGCAUUAACAUGUGUUUCUGAAAAUAAUAACACGAAAUAACAGACACGAUGACCACAGGUGUUGGGUUUUUUUUCUUCCAUUUAUUUAUUUAUUUUUAAUCCACCUUUAAUGUGUUACCUCAAUCUCGUAGAUCAGUUUCACUUUCGAAACAAAAUAUAGACGAUUAUACAGUCUGUAAAACCAAAUAUUAUCGUACACUAUUUACAGGUCAUGUGCAUCGUAGUGUGACGUGAACGUGUUAAUGCGGCUGAAGAACACGGACUCGGGUUCGUUAGCGACACGUGCCGAAACCUGCGCCAUGUUGUUUCGGGAUGAACGCUGCACCCUGGAAGGUUGAAAGGUCACUGCACUUUAAACAUAUCCCACUCUCUCUCUCUCGCACUCGCUCACGCACUCGCUCGCUCACUCGCUCGCAUACUCUCUCGCUCAUUGUUCAGUGAUGUGUGUAUUAUUCUACAACCUGCACGUUCUGACUGGUAAGCAUUGUGUUCCGUCUUAUGGAAAUACACAGCAAGUCUCAAUCCGUCCACGUUACCGGCUUGGUUCGAUUCAACGUGGUUGAUCAGCCAAGACAUGUUUGCUCUAUAGUUUUGUGCAGGAGCUACGAGGCGAAUGUAAAAAACUAACGGAAGCCGAUCUCGUCGAGCUCACCUGGAACGAUUUGAGGGUGGACAAGCAGAACUGUAUUAUUAUACUAAUAUAUAUAUAUAUAUAUAUAUAUAUAUAUAUAUAUAUAUAUAUAUAUAUAUA
Molecule: long non-coding RNA, 1412 nt
Organism: Ictalurus punctatus (channel catfish)
Lineage: Eukaryota; Metazoa; Chordata; Actinopteri; Siluriformes; Ictaluridae
Source: Ensembl